RNAcentral lists this ribosomal RNA (862 nucleotides) under Cantharellus lateritius. Its description in RNAcentral is "eukaryotic LSU rRNA". It matches the Rfam family "Eukaryotic large subunit ribosomal RNA", at positions 75 to 943 of the family's 3401-position model. The record is from RNAcentral. Lineage: Eukaryota; Fungi; Basidiomycota; Agaricomycetes; Cantharellales; Hydnaceae.
UUCCCCCAGUAACUGCGAGUGAAGAGGGAAGAGCUCAUCAUUGGAAUCUGACAGCGUUACGCUGUCCGAGUUGUAGAUGAGGAGUAGUCCAUCUGGACUGCAUGGCGUCCAAGUACAAUAGGCCGUCAGUGGGACAUCAUAGAGGGUGACAAUCCCGUCCUUGAUGCCAAUGUGCAAGUCCGUUACGAUGGCUAUCUCAGAGAGUCGAGCAGUUUGGGAUUUGCUGCUUAAACAUGGGAGGUAGAUUCCUUCUAAAGCUAAAUACAGGCGAGAGACCGAUAGAGAACAAGUACCGCAAGGGAAAGAUGAAAUAGAACUCUGUGAAGGGAGUCAAAAGGCGUGAAAUUGUUGCGAGAGAAGCGAUUCAAGUCAGCGUAGCUAGGCCCAUCAAGCCUCUUUGGCUUUGGACUAGCUUUGCCAGCGGUCUUGUCCCUUAGAGACUUGACUUUUUUAUGAUGUCCAGCCUGGUAUGCACAGGUAGCCCUCCUCUUGGGGGGGCCAGGACAUGGCUGGUGGAAUGGCUUGCAAUCGACCCGUCUUGAAACACGGACCAAGGAGUCUAACAUGUAUGCGAGUAUAAGGGUGGCAAACCCGUAUGCGCAAUGAAAGUAACUUUCAUGAUUGAGAAUGGCCUGAUGACCAGACAAGCAAUAUAUUCAUGUCCCUCGUACGGCCAUUGCCCAAGUUCCGUGGUAGAUCCCAUGAACAUGGAGUUGGAGCAUACAUGCUAGGACCCGAAAGAUGGUGAACUAUGCCUGGACAAAGCGAAGCCAAAGGAAACUCUGGUGGAGGCUUGUAGCGAUUCUGACGUGCAAAUCGAUCGUCUGAUCUGGGUAUAGGGGCGAAAGACUAAUCGAACCAU